UUAUCCCCUUUACAAUGAAUGUUAUCUAACACUACACAAAAUAUCGAUCGAUAAUUUUUCAAUAUCGAACGUUUCAAUAUCGCGCCGCAGCUCGAGAUCUCGAAAAUGUGUUUCAAAGUGGGAGAUGGCGCUGCGCCGAAGAAGGAAGGAAGGAAGGAAGAGAGCCACGCGACCGACCCAUACUUGUCACCUGAGUUUUCUCGCGAUAGAACAACGAGAAAUAACAAAGGACGGGGGAGGAGGAGGUCGGAGGAAAGGAGCGCGAAAUCACGCAGAGAAACCGGGAAAAGGCGGGCAGCUUGAACCAAGCCACUACAACGACUGGCUUUCGUUGCAGAAGCAAACUCCCCAUCUGCUCUGUUCGUUGCUGCCCCAACUCCCUGCUGUCAUUAUACGAUUGUGUGUGUGCGAGCACGCCCUUGUCAACGUCGUGUGCAAACGUACAAGGAGGAGCGUGUAUGUCGCAGCUGCAGCUGCUUGCAAGAGCGGAACACUGGGCUUUGGGGAUGGCAACGGUUGUGCACCACCUGGCCUUAGGAAGCCAGCACCGGGCCUCAACAUUGGCGUAGACUUUACUUGAAAUGAAUGACCGGAAAAAAGGGGAAUAGGAGACGAGCAUAAUAGAGCGGCGACUUUCGAAAUUCCGGCACCCUUUUGAAUGAUGGUUACAUUACAUUACACUCAAUCUACGGCAAAUGACGCAACACACAAAUUUCCCUGCUUUACGAGUCGAUAACUUUCACGGAGCAUUACCAUACUUGAUCGCAUCAAUAGUCCGGAGGAUAAUAAGUCUCAACUGAAUUAAGGAUAGUGGGAAUUGUAGCAGAUACUUACAACUGCUUAAUAGAAAUAUUCUAUGUUCACAUAUUCUCGCAUUACCCUUGAAGUAGAAAAUAUUGUAAUCAAUUUUAAAAUUCGUGUACAUUUAUAUCUUUUAUAACAUU
Unclassified non-coding RNA from Apis florea (little honeybee), 944 nucleotides. The record is from RefSeq and is a predicted model, not a curated record. NCBI's taxonomy places the organism in Eukaryota, Metazoa, Arthropoda, Insecta, Hymenoptera, Apidae.